AUGUCCAGCAGCCGCGGCGACGCUCUCCUUGACUCGGCGCCGCUGCUCGGCGCCGGCGCCGGCGGCGGGGGCCAGCGCCGGGGCAACGCGCUCCGCCGGCCGUCGCUGCGCGGCGCCGCGCGCCUGCUGCGCCGCAGCGGGCGGCGGGCGAUGCGGGAGCCGUCGAUGCUCGUGCGGGAGGCGGCGGCCGAGCACCUCGAGGAGCGGCAGGCGGACUGGGCCUACUCCCGCCCCGUCGUGGCGCUCGAUCUCCUCUGGAACAUCUCCUUCAUCACCGUCGCCGCCGUCGUGCUCGUGCUCAGCCGCAACGAGAAAUCCCCCAUGCCGCUCCGGACCUGGGUCGCCGGCUACGCCCUGCAGUGCGUCGUCCACAUGGUCUGCGUCGCCGUCGAGUACCGGAUGCGCCGAAGCCAGCGCGGCGGGGCCCCAGCACCCGCCGACGAGGAGAGGGGCAGCGACGGCUCGUCCUCGUCCAGCGACGAGGAUGCCAGCGAGCACCAUCUUCGUGGUCGCGACACCGAUUACGUCAGUUUGGCAAAGCAUCUGGAGUCUGCGAAUACAAUGUUCUCCUUCAUAUGGUGGAUAAUUGGAUUUUACUGGAUAUCUGCCGGGGGUGAAGAGGUUAUCCAUGAUGCACCUCAACUAUACUGGCUUUGCAUAGUCUUUCUGGCGUUUGAUGUGUUCUUUGUUGUUUUCUGUGUCGCUCUGGCUUGCAUUAUUGGUAUUGCCGUUUGUUGCUGCCUCCCUUGCAUUAUAGCAAUUCUGUAUGCUGUCUCUGAUCAGGAAGGAGCAUCUGAAGAUGACAUUCGGCAAAUUCCGAAAUACAAAUUCCGUAGGGUGGAUGAACCUGAAAAGGAUUCUGCUGAUGCCACUGAGUCUUCUGGUGGAAUAAUGAUAGAGUGUGGCACCAACCAACCUAUAGAGAAAGCACUUGCAGCUGAAGAUGCAGAGUGCUGCAUUUGCAUUUCAGCAUACGAUGAUGGUGCAGAGCUGCGUGAACUCCCUUGUGGCCACCAUUUCCACUGUGCCUGCAUCGACAAGUGGCUGCACAUCAACGCAACAUGCCCCCUGUGCAAGUUCAGUAUCCGGAAGGGCGGCAGCAGCAGCGGAAGCGAGGAAGUAUAA
RNAcentral lists this ribosomal RNA (1125 nucleotides) under Triticum aestivum (bread wheat). RNAcentral's name for it is "partial small subunit ribosomal RNA". The record is from RNAcentral. Lineage: Eukaryota; Viridiplantae; Streptophyta; Magnoliopsida; Poales; Poaceae.